Gadus macrocephalus (Pacific cod) is the source of this 301-nucleotide long non-coding RNA. RefSeq lists it as uncharacterized. The record is from RefSeq and is a predicted model, not a curated record. The transcript has 2 exons. Lineage: Eukaryota; Metazoa; Chordata; Actinopteri; Gadiformes; Gadidae.
UGUAGGUCCACAGGGGAGGAAUGGGGCUCUAGAGUGAACAACAGCAUAGAAUGGAUAAAGUGUGUCACGAGCCCUGUCAUAAUAACCUCCAAAACAGAUCCUUUCGGGGUGACUGAGGCCAGCCUUCAAACAACCUGUAUUGUCUACCAUAGACAAACUGGGAGCUGCUUUGUCCCAUAUCACAGAUUGGCAACGAUAUGGAACAUUCCACCCAGAGGGAUCAACUGCAUCGCCCUCUACAGCCCAAGUAUUGGGAUUUCAUCCCUUCCCUAAAAAUAAGAUUUAAAUCAACAAAAACAUG